This 58-nucleotide transfer RNA is filed under the name Loxodonta africana (African savanna elephant). Lineage: Eukaryota; Metazoa; Chordata; Mammalia; Proboscidea; Elephantidae. The record is from Rfam by way of RNAcentral.
UAGCCCAGCGGUUGAAGCAAUUGGCUGCUAACCAAAAGGUCAGUGGUUAGAACCCACU